GUGCAGCAGUCGCGAAUCUUCGGCAAUGGGGGAAACCCUGACCGAGCGACGCCGCGUGUGGGAUGAAGGCCCUUGGGUUGUAAACCACUGUCAGAGGGGAUGAAAUGCCGGAAAGUUAUCUCUCCGGUUUGACAUAGCCUCAGAGGAAGCACGGGCUAAGUUCGUGCCAGCAGCCGCGGUAAGACGAACUGUGCAAACGUUAUUCGGAAUCACUGGGCUUGAAGAGUGCGUAGGCGGUUUCGUAAGUAGGGUGUGAAAGCCCCCGGCUCAACCGGGGAAUUGCGUCCUAAACUGCGAGGCUGGAGUGAGGUAGGGGUGUGUGGAACUUCCAGUGGAGCGGUGAAAUGUGUUGAUAUUGGAAGGAACGCCGGUGGCGAAAGCGACACACUGGACCUUGUCUGACGCUGAGGCACGAAAGCCAGGGGAGCAAACGGGAUUAGAUA
This 443-nucleotide ribosomal RNA is filed under the name uncultured organism. Its description in RNAcentral is "bacterial SSU rRNA". It matches the Rfam family "Bacterial small subunit ribosomal RNA", at positions 346 to 784 of the family's 1533-position model. The record is from RNAcentral.